This 242-nucleotide ribosomal RNA is filed under the name uncultured Pseudomonas sp. RNAcentral describes it as "partial 16S ribosomal RNA". It matches the Rfam family "Bacterial small subunit ribosomal RNA", at positions 109 to 354 of the family's 1533-position model. The record is from RNAcentral. Lineage: Bacteria; Pseudomonadati; Pseudomonadota; Gammaproteobacteria; Pseudomonadales; Pseudomonadaceae.
AGUAAUGCCUAGGAAUCUGCCUGGUAGUGGGGGACGAACGUUUCGAAAGGAACGCUAAUACCGCAUACGUCCUACGGGAGAAAGCAGGGACCUUCGGGCCUUGCGCUAUCAGAUGAGCCUAGGUCGGAUUAGCUAGUUGGUGAGGUAAUGGCUCACCAAGGCGACGAUCCGUAACUGGUCUGAGAGGAUGAUCAGUCACACUGGAACUGAGACACGGUCCAGACUCCUACGGGAGGCAGCAG